AGCAGCAGGAACCUGCUUCGGUACCCAUUAUGUACGAACGUUCCUGAAAUCACCACCAGGGCGCGCCGACUCAACUUCACUUUUCUCUUCGCCAAGGCAUGCUGUGGACCCCUGCGCUGUAGACAAUGUCAGUGUUCUCCAAUUACCCACACUACGGCGCCGACUUCGCCCAGGCGGAGCUUCAGGGCACCGAGGAGUUCAUCCAUAGGUCGAGAAAGCUCGACUACGCAGCCUUAUUGAACCUUCUACGAAAGGAGGAAUCAUCGAACGAGGCGUUCCACGACACGUGGAACCAGGCGAUGCAAUUCGUUCACCAAAACAAGUUUGCUAUAUUCGACGGCAUCAGCGUCGACACAAGCAUCGCAGUGACAGCGUAUUCCCUGUACACUCCGCGCAUGCUAUGGAGGGACUUCAAUUCGAAAUGUGAGCAAGCUACUCCGGCAUCUUGGGAUGCGUUCCCGUACAAGGCGUGGUGGAGCUUCAUGCUGCAGGUCUUUGAUCAGAUGCCGGCGCCGGACUAUGUACCGCGAGCGUUGUUUUGUGCGGAACCUGAGCUUGAGAUAAGACCCGCGGGAAGCUUCUAUCCUUUUAAGCAGUUUCAAACCGCGAAUUUGGACUGCGACGUCGCAGGGAGCUGCGGAGACUGUGUGGUGGUCUACGAAGAAGUUGAACCGCAUGCGGUGCGUCCGGCAGUUUGGAGUCGGUACUUCCGGAAAUUCGACGUCAUUCUGCAUCCCGCGUGCGUGUUUCAAGUGAAGCGGAUAGAAAGGGGUUUCAGCGGCAAGCCCUACGUUAUUAUGUCCUUCUUUCGCUGAGGUGUGAACGGGACGAACACGUGCUAUCCGCGUUUUUUUUUGUUUUUUUUUUUUUGUGAUAAGUAAUCUCAUGUGAUCAUGAGCCUUGAUAAAUGGAGACGCGAUAUGUUUGGCCAUGUACGCGAAGUGGUAGCGUUUAAAGCCCUUUCUGGAUGGUAUUGUCACGAAGAGAUGUGACAGGUAUUAGAUUUAAAUACGGUGUGACCCACACUCGUGUGUUGUAAUAAAGAAAAUUAGGUACA
Molecule: long non-coding RNA, 1057 nt
Organism: Ornithodoros turicata
Lineage: Eukaryota; Metazoa; Arthropoda; Arachnida; Ixodida; Argasidae
Exons: 2
Source: RefSeq, a predicted model, not a curated record